UUUUCUUUCUUGUUAAGAAGCCCCACUCAACAGAAAUGCAGCUGCUUGCUUUACACCACCACAGUUGUCAUAAAAGAAAGCACUAUCUUAGACUUAACGAACGCUGUAUUGUGGGCAUCGUGUUUUCACAGUCACCUAGUCGCUUAACCAUCGAAAGACUACAGAGCACAAUAAUGAGCCGGACAGCAUGGAUAACCUUGGUGUGCCUUCUUUAUUUUGAUGUUGCAGCGGGGAAACAUAGGCAGCGGCCACUUACUGUGGCACCUAGCCCUCGUGCGGGUACAGAGGUUCCCGAUCAUGUGUUACACUGUCAACUUACGGGGCACUCGUGUCACGAGGCCAUUGAAUGCUGCCAGGGAAAGCCGUGCAAGGACGGGAAGUGCCUGUAGGCUGCCUAAUUCAAGGGCAGUGACAUCCCGGAACCUUCAAGGAGACCAGUCCCAUAACGGCACGUCUAUCGAAAAGAAAAAGAGCCAGCGAUUGAUACCGCAGUCUGCGUUGCGAGAAAUACAUUUACAGUAAAUAUAAAGCUUCAGUGAUAUCAUGUGA
Dermacentor albipictus is the source of this 549-nucleotide long non-coding RNA. RefSeq lists it as uncharacterized. Lineage: Eukaryota; Metazoa; Arthropoda; Arachnida; Ixodida; Ixodidae. The record is from RefSeq and is a predicted model, not a curated record.